Molecule: ribosomal RNA, 328 nt
Filed under: uncultured bacterium
Lineage: Bacteria
Description: bacterial SSU rRNA
Rfam family: Bacterial small subunit ribosomal RNA
Source: RNAcentral
AAUCAACGCUGGCGGCGUGCCUCAGACAUGCAAGUCGAACGCGAAAUUUCCCUUCGGGGAGAAAGUAGAGUGGCGCACGGGUGAGUAACACGUAGGUAAUCUACCUUUGGGUGGGGAAUAACAGCCGGAAACGGCUGCUAAUACCGCAUAAUGCAGCGGCUCGACAUCGAGACAGUUGUUAAAGCGGGGGACGGAGCAAUCCGACCUCGCGCCUGAAGAGGAGCCUGCGGCAGAUUAGCUAGUUGGCAGGGUAAUGGCCUACCAAGGCGACGAUCUGUAACCGGCCUGAGGAGGGCGGGUCGGUCACACUGACACUGACAUACGGGUC